Molecule: RNA transcript, 419 nt
Organism: Octodon degus (degu)
Lineage: Eukaryota; Metazoa; Chordata; Mammalia; Rodentia; Octodontidae
Gene name: heterogeneous nuclear ribonucleoprotein A/B pseudogene
Exons: 1
Source: RefSeq, a predicted model, not a curated record
AAUACCAUCAGUGGAAGCAAGUGUGAAAUCAAGGUGGCCCAGCCCAAGGAGGUCUAUCAGCAUCAGCAGUACUGCUCAGGGGGCCGUGGAAACCGCAACCAAGGGAACCGAGGCAGCAGUGGUGGAGGUCAGAGUCAGAGUUGGAAUCAGGGCUACAGCAACUACUGGAACCAGGGCUACAGCUACCAGCAGGGCUACAGGCCGGCUAUGGCUGCUACGACUACUCGCCCUGUGGCUAUUACAGCUACCGACCCGGCUAUGACAACAGUCAGGGUAGUACAAAUUACGGGAAGAGCCAGCGACGCAGGGGCCAUCAGAAUAACUACAAGCCUUACUCAGGUGGCGGCAGGAGCAGCCGGCGACUGACCGCACGCGCUUUGUUUGGAUACGGAGCAAACACAAUUAUGUACCAAAUUUAA